RNAcentral lists this ribosomal RNA (231 nucleotides) under uncultured Staphylococcus sp. Its description in RNAcentral is "partial 16S ribosomal RNA". It matches the Rfam family "Bacterial small subunit ribosomal RNA", at positions 109 to 334 of the family's 1533-position model. Lineage: Bacteria; Bacillati; Bacillota; Bacilli; Caryophanales; Staphylococcaceae. The record is from RNAcentral.
AGUAACACGUGGAUAACCUACCUAUAAGACUGGGAUAACUUCGGGAAACCGUAGCUAAUACCGGAUAAUAUUUUGAACCGCAUGGUUCAAAAGUGAAAGACGGUCUUGCUGUCACUUAUAGAUGGAUCCGCGCUGCAUUAGCUAGCUGGUAAGGUAACGGCUUACCAAGGCAACGAUGCAUAGCCGACCUGAGAGGGUGAUCGGCCACACUGGAACUGAGACACGGUCCAG